CGCAAGCCUGAUGCAGCCAUGCCGCGUGUGUGAAGAAGGCCUUCGGGGUUGUAAAAGCACUUUCAGUUGUGAGGAAGGUGGUGUCGUUAAUAGCGGCAUCAUUUGACGUUAGCAACAGAAGAAGCACCGGCUAACUCCGUGCCAGCAGCCGCGGUAAUACGGAGGGUGCGAGCGUUAAUCGGAAUUACUGGGCGUAAAGCGCAUGCAGGUGGUUUGUUAAGUCAGAUGUGAAAGCCCGGGGCUCAACCUCGGAACUGCUAUUUGAAAACUGGCAGACUAGAGUACUGUAGAGGGGGUAGAAUUUCAGGUGUAGCGGUGAAAUGCGUAGAGAUCUGAAGGAAUACCGGUGGCGAAGGCGGCCCCCUGGACAGAUACUGACACUCAGAUGCGAAAGCGUGGGGAGCAAACAGGAUUAGAUACCCUGGUAG
This 428-nucleotide ribosomal RNA is filed under the name uncultured bacterium. RNAcentral's name for it is "bacterial SSU rRNA". It matches the Rfam family "Bacterial small subunit ribosomal RNA", at positions 376 to 793 of the family's 1533-position model. The record is from RNAcentral.